RNAcentral lists this ribosomal RNA (253 nucleotides) under uncultured bacterium. RNAcentral's name for it is "partial 16S ribosomal RNA". It matches the Rfam family "Bacterial small subunit ribosomal RNA", at positions 524 to 776 of the family's 1533-position model. The record is from RNAcentral.
GACGUAGGGCGCGAGCGUUGUCCGGAUUUAUUGGGCGUAAAGAGCUCGUAGGCGGCUUGUCGCGUCGGAUGUGAAAACCCGCAGCUCAACUGUGGGCUUGCAUCCGAUACGGGCAGGCUCGAGUUCGGUAGGGGAGACUGGAAUUCCUGGUGUAGCGGUGAAAUGCGCAGAUAUCAGGAGGAACACCGGUGGCGAAGGCGGGUCUCUGGGCCGAUACUGACGCUGAGGAGCGAAAGCGUGGGGAGCGAACAGG